This 830-nucleotide ribosomal RNA is filed under the name uncultured soil bacterium. RNAcentral describes it as "bacterial SSU rRNA". It matches the Rfam family "Bacterial small subunit ribosomal RNA", at positions 26 to 898 of the family's 1533-position model. The record is from RNAcentral.
AGAGCGAACGCUGGCGGCAUGCUUAACACAUGCAAGUCGCACGGGCAGGGCAACCUGUCAGUGGCGGACGGGUGAGUAACGCGUAGGAAUCUAUCCACGGGUGGGGGAUAACGCCGGGAAACUGGUGCUAAUACCGCAUGAUACCUGAGGGUCAAAGGCGCAAGUCGCCUGUGGAGGAGCCUGCGUCCGAUUAGCUAGUUGGUGGGGUAACUGCCUACCAAGGCGACGAUCGGUAGCUGGUCUGAGAGGAUGAUCAGCCACAUUGGGACUGAGACACGGCCCAAACUCCUACGGGAGGCAGCAGUGGGGAAUAUUGGACAAUGGGCGAAAGCCUGAUCCAGCAAUGCCGCGUGGGUGAAGAAGGUCUUCGGAUUGUAAAGCCCUUUCGGCGGGGACGAUGAUGACGGUACCCGCAGAAGAAGCCCCGGCUAACUUCGUGCCAGCAGCCGCGGUAAUACGAAGGGGGCUAGUGUUGCUCGGAUUGGCUGGGCGUAAAGGGCGCGUAGGCGGCUUGUACAGUCAGACGUGAAAUUCCUGGGCUCAACCUGGGGGCUGCGUUUGAUACGUAUGGGCUUGAGUUCGGAAGAGGGUCGUGGAAUUCCCAGUGUAGAGGUGAAAUUCGUAGAUAUUGGGAAGAACACCGGUGGCGAAGGCGGCGACCUGGUCCGAUACUGACGCUGAGGCGCGAAAGCGUGGGGAGCAAACAGGAUUAGAUACCCUGGUAGUCCACGCCGUAAACGAUGUGCGCUGGAUGUUGGGUGACAUAGUCAUUCAGUGUCGUAGCUAACGCGAUAAGCGCACCGCCUGGGGAGUACGGCCGCAAGGUUGAA